Molecule: non-coding RNA, 542 nt
Organism: Struthio camelus australis
Lineage: Eukaryota; Metazoa; Chordata; Aves; Struthioniformes; Struthionidae
Source: RefSeq, a predicted model, not a curated record
AGCCUAUCCACCGAUGAGCCCUGCUCUUGGCAGCACGCACUUCCACGAGCAAUGAUCUACAGUGAUUAUGAGUCUCUUCUGUUUCUAGAUCCAUUUUGCAGCAAAGCAAUUGGAGAUGCAAGAAAGUUACCCACAAAUGUCCAGAGAGUCGCUGAUAGAAUUAGCCUGGAACUCAGGAAUCCUGCUGUCCAUUUCUCUAGUUAACCCCUAGGACCUCUGGUCAAGACUAUCCUUUUGCCGAGUGUAGGAUUGUCUCAGGAGCAUUGAAUCUCAUCUGUCAUAAGGCAUUGCACAGGAAAGAAAUAGCUCUGUAUGAAGAAAGGGCUCGAUCCCAGGACUCCUCCACUCCCAGGUGAAUUAACACUGCAGCAGUGGCGCUGCUGCAACAGGAAGCACUGAAAACUUCCUCCUGCUGCUUGAGACAUGCUGUGGAAGGAAGGAGAUGCGAGUCUGCACAACCCAGCGCUCUGAGCACCGCAUCCCACUUCCGAGGCCUUCAGUGGACCCCGAUUUGACUUAAUACAGCCCAAGCACUGACCUCC